RNAcentral lists this ribosomal RNA (245 nucleotides) under Auricularia sp. RNAcentral's name for it is "partial 28S ribosomal RNA". It matches the Rfam family "Eukaryotic large subunit ribosomal RNA", at positions 104 to 344 of the family's 3401-position model. The record is from RNAcentral. Lineage: Eukaryota; Fungi; Basidiomycota; Agaricomycetes; Auriculariales; Auriculariaceae.
AGAGCUCAAAUUUGAAAUCUGGCAGUUUUGCCGUCCGAGUUGUAAUCUAGAGAGGUGUUUUCCGUACUGGACCGUGUAAAAGUCCCUUGGAACAGGGCGUCAUAGAGGGUGAGAAUCCCGUCCAUGACACGGACUACCAGUGCUCUGUGAUACACCUUCAAAGAGUCGAGUUGUUUGGGAAUGCAGCUCAAAAUGGGUGGUAAAUUCCAUCUAAAGCUAAAUACAGGCGAGAGACCGAUAGCGAA